CAUGAAGCCGGAAUUGCUAGUAAUGGCAGGUCAGCAUACUGCCGUGAAUACGUUCCCGGGCCUUGUACACACCGCCCGUCACACCAUGAGAGUUGGGAAUACCCGAAGCCUGUGAGCCAACAAACGAGGCAGCAGUCGAAGGUAGAAUCAAUGAUUGGGGUGAAGUCGUAACAAGGUAUC
RNAcentral lists this ribosomal RNA (180 nucleotides) under uncultured bacterium. RNAcentral's name for it is "partial 16S ribosomal RNA". It matches the Rfam family "Bacterial small subunit ribosomal RNA", at positions 1319 to 1500 of the family's 1533-position model. The record is from RNAcentral.